Chenopodium quinoa (quinoa) is the source of this 1538-nucleotide long non-coding RNA. RefSeq lists it as uncharacterized. The transcript has 3 exons. The record is from RefSeq and is a predicted model, not a curated record. NCBI's taxonomy places the organism in Eukaryota, Viridiplantae, Streptophyta, Magnoliopsida, Caryophyllales, Amaranthaceae.
UGAAACAUUAAAUACAAUGGUGAUACACUGUACAAACUAGAGUUGUUGUCUCCUGUAUUUGAAAAUGAAGAGGUCAGUAAUGCCAGUAGUUGAUUUGUUUAGAUACACUGACUCCUUCUCAUGUGGACUAUUUUUAAUACUUCAGUCUAUUGUAAGUUAUUUGGCUCAAUCUGAGCGCUUUAAAACUAUGACCACCCCUAACCAUCAGAAGACCAAUUGCGCUUAAAACUUAUCACUCUCUAUGGUGCUUUUGUUUUUAUUUAGUUAAUGUAGGAGAAUUUAUGAUAUGGAUCCCUUUAAGCUAUUGAGGUGGGAGAAACAACUGAUGAAGCUGAAGGAAAGAAUUCUAGCAGAAGGUUCUAAAGUUGUAUUCCUUCCUAUAAUUGAAAAGUAUAUCCUGAAAAACCAUCAUCGUGUAACAGUUGAAAUGCAGCCUGGUCCAGAGACGGGGAUAAUUAGGCUGUUGAUAAAAAAUCGUUGGAGAAGCUCAAGGCAAGUAUGACGGAGUAAAAACUGGCAGAGUUUGUUCGUGCUAUGCAAGAGUUGCGCUUAAAAUACAAGACUCUAGAUCCACCUAAAGCUUUACGGAGUGUUCCAUGUCUAUUUUUGCAUGACAUCCUGAAGAAUUCCAUUCAUAUUCCCACUGAGAUUGGGAAUAUCAUGGUGUGAGCAUGAAUUAUUCACAAAUAAAGUCAUUUACAUUGAAGUUGUAGAUUUUAUAUGAGUACUCUAAAACAAGAGCUUCUCUAAUAAACUUUAUUUUAGUAAGAUUACUUGCAUAGUGAAGAUUCGUUAAUGACAGUGCAACUGUAUGCUGUCUCUUCUUUUUAAAUUCUUUGUUCAGAUCAAUUAUAAUUUUGAUUUUUUGAUGCAUUCCUUUUGCACAAGAUCAAUAUCUUUCUUAUGAGCUUUAAUUCUUUCCGGCCUCUAUGCAAUCAAUCAUUGUUAGUGAAGGAACAAUGUGCUGAUAUGGACCUUGAAAGGUGCUGAAGUGAAAUAUUAUCAAACACAGAUUAUUCUGACAGGCUCGUCAUAUGGAAAUUGUACUCAGUAAGAGAUACCUCAUCUGAUAAGAUGAAGGGAAUUCUGCAAGAAGAAUCUGUUCAGACAUAAUCCCAGGGCAAACAAUAACCUAUGCUCAUAAUGUCUGAUUCAAGUGCUGGUUUCAGCCUAGAUUUUAAUAAAAUAAAUGAUGGGAUGAUUGCUUACCAGGCUAGCUUAUGAAGAAAGUGAUAAUAAAUGCAAUCUGAGAUCUUGGACAAGCUGUUUUACAUCAAGCACUACCUCAAUGGACUUUGACAAAGCCAGAACCAAAUAAAUAGGCAUAAAUGUUUUAGGGGGGUUUUUAAGGAACAUAGAACAUAUCCUUUGUUCCUUAUGUACUUGGAAACAAGGACAAAGUUAUAUCAGUACUUGUAUGAAAAAAAAAUAACAAAAUAAAGUAUCACCAUAGACUAAAAACUAUGUAAUGUGUUAUGUGUACAAUGUUGCUAGCUUAUAUUGCCUUAGAGCUAGACUUAAAAUCUUUGUACCUGUAU